Molecule: signal recognition particle RNA, 304 nt
Filed under: Chinchilla lanigera (long-tailed chinchilla)
Lineage: Eukaryota; Metazoa; Chordata; Mammalia; Rodentia; Chinchillidae
Description: Metazoan signal recognition particle RNA (ENSCLAG00000021981.1)
Rfam family: Metazoan signal recognition particle RNA
About the family: The signal recognition particle (SRP) is a universally conserved ribonucleoprotein. It is involved in the co-translational targeting of proteins to membranes.
Source: Rfam by way of RNAcentral
GUCGGGCACGGUGGUGCGCGCCUGUAGUCCCAGCAACUUGGGAGGCUGAGGUGGGAGGAUCGCUUGAGUCCAGGAGUUCUGGGCUGCAGUGCGCUAUGCCGAUGUGUCCACACUAAGUUCAGCAUCAAUAUGGUGACCUUGACCUCCCGGGAGCGGGGGACCACCAGGUUGCCUAAGGAGGGGUGAACCGGCCCAGGUUGGAAAUGGAGCAGGUCAAAACUCCCGUGCUGAUCAUAAACUUCCCAAGUGAAAACAACCCAAAUAUCCAUCAACAGAAUGAAUGAACAAACUGUAGUAUAUCCAU